AGCCAGCUGGCGUAGUGGUUUGAGUGUUGGACUAUGACUCUGGAGACCAGGGUUUGAUUCCCUGCUUGCCCA
Molecule: transfer RNA, 72 nt
Filed under: Phrynosoma platyrhinos (Desert horned lizard)
Lineage: Eukaryota; Metazoa; Chordata; Lepidosauria; Squamata; Phrynosomatidae
Description: tRNA-OTHER
Source: RNAcentral